UUCAGCCCUGCCAAAAGCAUAAAUAAGCAGCAGCAAUUCUCAAGCCUCGACAAACUAGAAUGAAAUGCAAAUCUGCUAGCAGUCAAUCAUCUCAGCUUUGGCAACAGAAUCAACAGCAGCAGCUCUCAGUCUCACCAACUUUAAAACAUGUAUUAUAUAUUCGCAGGCAUUCGGCCAUUUUAAUUUAAAAACCAAGGGAUUCCAAACGAGCGGCGUUACGCCACGCCGGCCUGCAUACAUCUCUCCGAAAUACAACAUCAUCCAUCUUCAUCAAGGGACUAAAAUUAACGCCGCAAGCGACCACAACAAAGGGGAGAAACAAACUGUACAAAUUAAAACGGCCAAGCAACCCACCGCCGUCAUCAAACACCAUUCAUUCAUUCCAUUUCCAUCCAUUCAUUCGUUAUAAAGAAGACCAUGGCACGCCCGCCCGUGGUAGCCGCUGCCUGGCUGAGACAUCCCCGCCAGACCACACCUCUUAUUUGCCCGGCCUCCUCCGUCUCGGGGCCU
This 510-nucleotide long non-coding RNA is filed under the name Triticum aestivum (bread wheat). RNAcentral's name for it is "long non-coding RNA (TAES_LNC027993)". Lineage: Eukaryota; Viridiplantae; Streptophyta; Magnoliopsida; Poales; Poaceae. The record is from RNAcentral.